UGGGGAAUAUUGCACAAUGGAGGGAACUCUGAUGCAGCGACGCCGCGUGAGUGAUGAAGGAAUUCGUUUCGUAAAACUCUGUUCUAUGGGAAGAAAAGGACUGUACCAUAGGAGAAAGCUCCGGCUAAAUACGUGCCAGCAGCCGCGGUAAUACGUAUGGAGCGAGCGUUGUCCGGAAUUAUUGGGCGUAAAGGGUGCGCAGGCGGCUUUACAAGUUGGAUGUGAAAUAUUGUGGCUCAACCACAAACGUGCAUCCAAAACUGCAAAGCUUGAGUUAAGGAGAGGUAAGUGGAAUUCCUGGUGUAGCGGUGGAAUGCGUAGAUAUCAGGAGGAAUACCGCUGGCGAAGGCGACUUACUGGACUUAAACUGACGCUCAGGCACGAAAGCGUGGGGAGCAAACAGG
RNAcentral lists this ribosomal RNA (404 nucleotides) under Fusobacteriota bacterium. Its description in RNAcentral is "Fusobacteria bacterium partial 16S ribosomal RNA". It matches the Rfam family "Bacterial small subunit ribosomal RNA", at positions 355 to 776 of the family's 1533-position model. Lineage: Bacteria; Fusobacteriati; Fusobacteriota. The record is from RNAcentral.